UAAUACUCCUAGCCUAAGUUUUUUAUAAAACGCGGGGAAACCACUUUUUUGGGGUGAAUCGUUUUUUACGUAGGUUAUGCCUUUACCGAACCCGUCAGCUAACCCCGUAGGUAAAAGGAGGAAAAAUA
This 128-nucleotide small RNA is filed under the name Clostridiales bacterium oral taxon 876 str. F0540. RNAcentral describes it as "c-di-AMP riboswitch aptamer (ydaO/yuaA leader)". It matches the Rfam family "c-di-AMP riboswitch aptamer (ydaO/yuaA leader)". From Rfam's summary of the family: This family represents a conserved RNA structure found upstream of the ydaO and yuaA genes in Bacillus subtilis and related genes in other bacteria. The ydaO/yuaA element is thought to act as a genetic "off" switch for the ydaO and yuaA genes in its native state. Lineage: Bacteria; Bacillati; Bacillota; Clostridia; Eubacteriales. RNAcentral also lists the same sequence under 1 other name. The record is from Rfam by way of RNAcentral.